UCAAGUCAUCAUGCCCCAUAUGUCCUGGGCUACACACGUACUACAAUGGGCUUUAGACAAAGAGAAGCGAAGCCGCGAGGCGGAGCAAACCUCAUAAAUAAGCUCUCAGUUCGGAUCGCAGGCUGAAACUCGCCUGCGUGAAGUAGGAAUCGCUAGUAAUCGCAGAUCAGCAUGCUGCGGUGAAUACGUUCCCGGGCCUU
RNAcentral lists this ribosomal RNA (200 nucleotides) under uncultured prokaryote. Its description in RNAcentral is "partial 16S ribosomal RNA". It matches the Rfam family "Bacterial small subunit ribosomal RNA", at positions 1185 to 1382 of the family's 1533-position model. The record is from RNAcentral.